This 1077-nucleotide ribosomal RNA is filed under the name Psychrobacter sp. 1020B6_12EMannit. RNAcentral describes it as "bacterial SSU rRNA". It matches the Rfam family "Bacterial small subunit ribosomal RNA", at positions 56 to 1126 of the family's 1533-position model. Lineage: Bacteria; Pseudomonadati; Pseudomonadota; Gammaproteobacteria; Moraxellales; Moraxellaceae. The record is from RNAcentral.
UGCAAGUCGAGCGGUAACAGGAGAAGCUUGCUUCUCGCUGACGAGCGGCGGACGGGUGAGUAAUACUUAGGAAUCUACCUAGUAGUGGGGGAUAGCUCGGGGAAACUCGAAUUAAUACCGCAUACGACCUACGGGAGAAAGGGGGCAACUUGUUGCUCUCGCUAUUAGAUGAGCCUAAGUCGGAUUAGCUAGAUGGUGGGGUAAAGGCCUACCAUGGCGACGAUCUGUAGCUGGUCUGAGAGGAUGAUCAGCCACACCGGGACUGAGACACGGCCCGGACUCCUACGGGAGGCAGCAGUGGGGAAUAUUGGACAAUGGGGGCAACCCUGAUCCAGCCAUGCCGCGUGUGUGAAGAAGGCCUUUUGGUUGUAAAGCACUUUAAGCAGUGAAGAAGACUCCAUGGUUAAUACCCAUGGACGAUGACAUUAGCUGCAGAAUAAGCACCGGCUAACUCUGUGCCAGCAGCCGCGGUAAUACAGAGGGUGCAAGCGUUAAUCGGAAUUACUGGGCGUAAAGCGAGCGUAGGUGGCUUGAUAAGUCAGAUGUGAAAGCCCCGGGCUUAACCUGGGAACGGCAUCUGAUACUGUUAGGCUAGAGUAGGUGAGAGGAAGGUAGAAUUCCAGGUGUAGCGGUGAAAUGCGUAGAGAUCUGGAGGAAUACCGAUGGCGAAGGCAGCCUUCUGGCAUCAUACUGACACUGAGGUUCGAAAGCGUGGGUAGCAAACAGGAUUAGAUACCCUGGUAGUCCACGCCGUAAACGAUGUCUACUAGUCGUUGGGUCCCUUGAGGACUUAGUGACGCAGCUAACGCAAUAAGUAGACCGCCUGGGGAGUACGGCCGCAAGGUUAAAACUCAAAUGAAUUGACGGGGGCCCGCACAAGCGGUGGAGCAUGUGGUUUAAUUCGAUGCAACGCGAAGAACCUUACCUGGUCUUGACAUAUCUAGAAUCCUGCAGAGAUGCGGGAGUGCCUUCGGGAAUUAGAAUACAGGUGCUGCAUGGCUGUCGUCAGCUCGUGUCCUGAGAUGUUGGGUUAAGUCCCGCAACGAGCGCAACCCUUGUCCUUAGUUACCAGCGGUU